GACCUCCUGGGACAAAAACUGAACGCUGAGGUGCGAAAAGCGUGGGGAGCAAACAGGAUUAGAUACCCUGGUAGUCCAUGCUGUAAACGAUGUCGACUUGGAGGUUGUUUCCUUGAGAAGUGGCUUCCGAAGCUAACGCAUUAAGUCGACCGCCUGGGGAGUACGGCCGCAAGGCUAAAACUCAAAUGAAUUGACGGGGGCCCGCACAAGCGGUGGAGCAUGUGGUUUAAUUCGAUGCAACGCGAAGAACCUUACCUGGUCUUGACAUCCAUAAAAUUUUUUAGAGAUAAAAAAGUGCCUUUACCGGAAUUAUGAGACAGGUGCUGCAUGGCUGUCGUCAGCUCGUGUUGUGAAAUGUUGGGUUAAGUCCCGCAACGAGCGCAACCCUUGUUCUCUGUUGCCAUCAGGUUAUGCUGGGAAUUCAGAGGAGACUGCCGGUUAUAAGCUGGAGGAAGGUGGGGACGACGUCAAGUCAUCAUGGCCCUUACGACCAGGGCUACACACGUGCUACAAUGGCAUAUACAAAGAGAAGCAAAUCUGCGAAGACAAGCAAAACUCAUAAAGUAUGUCUUAGUUCGGACUGGAGUCUGCAACUCGACUCCACGAAGUCGGAAUCGCUAGUAAUCGUGGAUCAGAAUGCCACGGUGAAUACGUUCCCGGGCCUUGCACUCACCGCCCGUC
RNAcentral lists this ribosomal RNA (681 nucleotides) under uncultured bacterium. RNAcentral describes it as "bacterial SSU rRNA". It matches the Rfam family "Bacterial small subunit ribosomal RNA", at positions 723 to 1398 of the family's 1533-position model. The record is from RNAcentral.